GGAUCAUUAUCGAAUAAACUUGAACAGGCUGUUGCUGGUCCCAGGACAAUGUGCACGCUUGUCAUCUUUAUCAUUUCUCCCAACUGUGCACAUAUUGUAGACCCUGGAGGUUUUUGGAUUUGUUCCGAGUGGGGACUGCUGUGCUUCAAAGAAAAAGAAGUCGGCUUUCCCUUGAACUUUUUCCAGGUCUAUGUCAUUUUUCACAACCUCUUGAAUGUGUUUAGAAUGUUGAAAUAAAGAAAAGUUAAUAAAUACAACUUUCAGCAACGGAUCUCUUGGCUCUCGCAUCGAUGAAGAACGCAGCGAAAUGCGAUAAGUAAUGUGAAUUGCAGAAUUCAGUGAAUCAUCGAAUCUUUGAACGCAUCUUGCGCUCCUUGGUAUUCCGAGGAGCAUGCCUGUUUGAGUGUCAUUUAAACUCUCAAACCACAUCAUUCAUUUGACGUGGCUUGGGACGUGGGGGUUGCCGGCUUUCUUCUCAGAGAGGCCUGCUCCCCUGAAAAGCAUUAGUGGUAUCUGGAGUGGAAAACCGCUAGGUGUGAUAAUACUGUCUAUGCCUUUGGUUAUGCCACAAUGUGCUGCUUCCAACCGCACAUUUUUUGACAAACUUGACCUCAAAUCAGGUAGGACUACCCGCUGAACUUAAGCAUAUCAUA
This 653-nucleotide small RNA is filed under the name Inocybe sp. SB78. Its description in RNAcentral is "eukaryotic LSU rRNA". The stretch from base 256 to 409 matches the Rfam family "5.8S ribosomal RNA". Lineage: Eukaryota; Fungi; Basidiomycota; Agaricomycetes; Agaricales; Inocybaceae. The record is from RNAcentral.